CAUUUUAUAACUCAAGAAAACAAGAUUAAAGUGAUAAAAUUUGUUGGGUCGGUGGAUGAAUAUUUUGGCCUCAAAUGCCAUUUUGAAAGACUGGAAGCAUAUGCAGCUCUCCACUCCCAAUUGUGUCUGAGUCUUGUAUCUCUUACUAUUUACAUUAAAAA
This is a long non-coding RNA of Coffea eugenioides, 161 nucleotides long. RefSeq lists it as uncharacterized. The record is from RefSeq and is a predicted model, not a curated record. The transcript is spliced from 3 exons. NCBI's taxonomy places the organism in Eukaryota, Viridiplantae, Streptophyta, Magnoliopsida, Gentianales, Rubiaceae.